CCCUUAGAUGUUCUGGGCCGCACGCGCGCUACACUGUUCGACGCAGCGAGUCUUAACCUUGACCGAAAGGUUUGGGUAAUCUUCAGCAAAGUCGAACGUGAUGGGGAUCGUUCAUUGCAAUUAUUGAUCGUGAACGAGGAAUUCCUAGUAAGUGCAAGUCAUCAGCUUGCGCUGAUUACGUCCCUGCCCUUUGUACACACCGCCCGUCGCUACUACCGAUUGAAUGGUUUAGUGAGAUCUCUGGAUUGACGCUGGCUAGGGGGCGACCCUUGGCCAGACUGUUGAGAAACUGCUCAAACUUGAUCAUUUAGAGGAAGUAAAAGUCGUAACA
RNAcentral lists this ribosomal RNA (331 nucleotides) under uncultured eukaryote. Its description in RNAcentral is "partial 18S ribosomal RNA". It matches the Rfam family "Eukaryotic small subunit ribosomal RNA", at positions 1470 to 1796 of the family's 1831-position model. The record is from RNAcentral.